CGCUGGACAGACUCAACCGAACUGAAGAGGAAUUAUUAGUCAACUUCAUGUUACAUUGGCAAGCCACUCUACUACACGUAUUGCGCCGCAACAGGGUAAAAGUCCACAAUUAGGUGAAUGACAAUUUAUGCCUCAUGCCGCGGUAUGAGAAGGCCAGCCGAGACGCGAACCCCUGCUCCAGACGAGAUUAGCUGAUUGAACUGACUGUUUAGGUCAUGAUAAGGAGUAAAUUUAAAAUAUGCUAGUUUUAAAAACUUGCCAUGUCUUUAUUGGAAAGCCUAAUUAUAGUUCUCAGAUUAAUAACUUGUUCUGUCCUGUUAAUCUUUAUGUCACCUAUAGAUAAAGUAGAUUGUUUGCCGAGAUCUUUUGAACUGCCCUUUGUGUGGGAAAUCAGGAGAAGUUCCAGCUUUCACACUGAUCUGUGAAAAGCCUUGAAACAGCAGGAAUUGAGGAAACUCCGGUACCAAAUCGAUGCAGGAAUAUCAAAGAGUUGGCCAUGUAGGUAAAACACGGGGCUUGCAGAACAGCCGGGACACAACUGAAGUGUCCGCCCGUGCUGCCGGGCCUGGGUAGCAUAAAUUAUAAUACAGCUCAGACGACAAAGAAUAGUGCGCUGACUAGCGACGAAUAACUAAUGUGAAGCAGAUAGAUAACUGCGGUGACCAAACGACCCGUUAAUGAUGGGCUGCACUGCUCGCAGUUGAGUGCACAUGCAUCUGCUAUUUAUAC
Molecule: long non-coding RNA, 729 nt
Organism: Poecilia latipinna (sailfin molly)
Lineage: Eukaryota; Metazoa; Chordata; Actinopteri; Cyprinodontiformes; Poeciliidae
Exons: 2
Source: RefSeq, a predicted model, not a curated record